Molecule: long non-coding RNA, 3101 nt
Organism: Pogona vitticeps (central bearded dragon)
Lineage: Eukaryota; Metazoa; Chordata; Lepidosauria; Squamata; Agamidae
Source: Ensembl
GAAGGAUCCACACAGGUCUUUAGACUGCAGGUUUACACACGAGCAAGGUUUACCCAGUUUACAUGCAUUUAAGUUUACUUGGUUUACUCACAAGUAAGGACACGGCAGUGGAGGACAUUGGUGGCAUGAAGGGGAAAUGUUGAGGGCAAGAUUGGGGAGGUGGAAGGCAGGUAACCUUCCCUUUUCCGCAUCUUUCUCCUUGGGGCUCUUGUACUGCCUUGUAAGGUGGAGCCCUUGGAGUCCAUUUGGGUACAUAAUAACCAUCCGCAUAAGCCAGACAACAGGAUAAUCAGAAGUGCAUGAAUCAUUAAAAACAAAGCAAAACAGAAGCCCCUAAUGCUGUGCCAUAAAGGAGCAAGAUGGCUCUUAAUGGGGCAGGACAGAUCAAUCUAAGUAGAAACAUGUGUGGAUGGUGUAAUUUUGUUUGAACCAAACCUUACCAACAGCAAUUCAAACAGCAAUCUAUAUACUGUACCUGUCUCAAUAAUACCAUAGAUUAAGUGUUGCCAGAAACCAUAAUCUCAACGAAUCAUUGCUUUUCAGUUCUAAGUGUCCCACUUCCCAAGUGGCCAGAGAUACAUACUAGUUGAUGAGGUGGUUGAACCAUGAUUCUGGGACAGGAAGCUGGGUACAAAAGAUGGCUUCUAACUGACACAGCCCUAAAACUGUUCCUUUCUGCAGCAACUUGAAUCAGGUCUAAUGAUAUGCCACGCCUCCCUCUCCCCGAUAGUUGUUCCAAUACUCAUAAUCAACAGCAUUUUGCAAGCUUUAUUAACAAAAGUGUGGGUGAGUGUAUACAUUCUGCAGAUAGGAUUUAUGUCCAUGAGUUACAGAGCAGCUGGGGUGACAUGUUGAGUUAUAAAGAUUUCCAAAGAUGCUUUAAUUUACUAGGAAUUCCACUUGUCCUUCAUGGAAGGAUGAACGUCAACACAGGUGGCCUGGGAGAGGGAGCUAUGGGUCAGUUUCUGGGUGUGAAUUGAAUUCUUGCUGGUUCUUACCAGGCUGCAGAGAAGCUAUAAAUGGAUCUCCUGAUUUAGAACUUGAUUUAAAUAGACCACCAUUUGCACCUGUACCACUUGGCAUCAUAUCAGUGUAGACAUGCUUGGGUAAGCUUGUGUAAGACACAUAAUUCUUCUCUACUCAGAUUUAUAUUAGUUUUCCCCAUCCAUAUAUAUAUAUAUAUAUAUAUGAGACUCUUAUAGUCAUACAAUGCAUAUAUAUAUAAAUUUAUAGCCUGAGUCAUAAACUAGUUAAGCUCAUGACUUAGAUUUAUAUGCAGGGCAGUACACUGGAUACCAUCCAAUUCAGCUGAACUGUUUAGCAGAUGGGGCUGUCCAUUAUUCAUCAUCACAUGUAGGAGUGAAGAGGCAGUCCCUCUGUAAUCACUACAAUACACAUUCCCGACUGCUGUGGCCAGGUUCCCCUUGCCUUUUCGUCUACAUGUAAAGCGUAGAGGUAAAGUUUUUGAUCUCUGCCCAGUUCAUACCAUAUACCUUUGUCACCUAUUUCCUUCAGUGGGAUAGAGCAGGCAGUAAAGAAAAUGUGAUCCUCUAGAUCAGUGGUGUCGAACUGUGGCCCUCCAGAUGUCCUUGGACUUUAACUCCCAGAAGCCUCUACCACCACCUCUGCUGGCCAGGAUUUCUGGGAGUUGAAGGCCAAGAACAUCUGGAGGGCCACAGUUCGACACCACUGCUCUAGAUGUUGUCAGACUAUAGUUUCCCUCAUGCUUUAUCUUUGUUUAUGCUGGCUGGGGCCAGUAUGAGCUGGAAUCCUAUAAUGUGCCACCUUGCUGAGGCAGCUUCAUGAAGCCAGGGGAUGAUCAUGUGGAAAAAGAAUUCAGUGCCCCAAUGGUCAGUGCUUUUCCAGAAGGAGCACAGUUGACAGGAAAGUAUGAGAAGACUGAAGUAGAUGUGAGGUUCCUUUGUCCCAGGAAGAGGCACAGGUUGAAAAGAUGAGAGCAAAAAUAAGCACAUCAUUUUAAGGCUCUCCGAGUGCUUAGUGAAAACAGCUAUACACCAGGGAAAGGUUAACUAGGAGUUACAAUUUCUGUGUGUUCUACCAAGGAAGCCACUGUGGGGAACAACAUGGGGGUUCACUUCUUUAUUACCAUUCUGUGCUGCCUGAUCAGAUUUCCAGAACUUUGAUGAACAAACUCCAGAAAAUGUCACCUCCACCUGCUCUCUGUUUCAAUAUACAGCCCCAAUGCUUGUGGCCUGGCAUGAAACCACAGCAUCUGAGGGUCGGUGGGUCACAUGUUCUACACUCUGAACUAGUGGAGGGAAAAUCCUUUUUACUGGCAUUGAGAAUGAGAACAGCAAUAUAGCAGAUGAGCUCAAUUUUUUCCUCUCAGGCACUUAUCUUACAUACCCCCUUUGUGACAUAUUUGCCGCUUUGAAACUGCACUCUUUAGCACUAUGAAAUUAUCCUGUUACCAUGUGGGCAGCCUGAAUUGCAUGGGUACUCCCCUUGCUAGUGUCCUUCCAUCCCAGCUGCUAGUGCCAGCGUAGAUUGUGCCCUUUCUAUCUUGGCUACCCAUGUGAUGCAGAAUAUUUGUAUGUGAACAAGUACUUUGUGGGAUCCAUGCACAGGAAAUAAUAAGUGACUGCAGUGCUGCAAAGGCAAGAUAUGAAUGGGUCUCCACUUAGAAGGAAAGAAAUGAGAGAAUUGUGGUAAAAGUGGCACAUAGGUUGGACUGAAGACACAGCAUCCUCGUCAUCCAUACGCAUGACCUACCAACACUUCAGAGUAAAGAAAAACUCAUAUUUUUUUUGGACAGUAAUUCAAAGAAAUCCCCAACUGGCAUGUCUGUGCUGACAGAGCAUUCUAGGACUUGUGGCUCAAAUAAGCCAUUUUUUUCCAAGCUCUGGUAGUCAAUUGGAAACUAGUCACAAGUGCCACUCUCUUGGCUAUAUAAAUAAGCAACCUGUUCUUAAAACAGGAACUGGCACAGAAACCUGGUCCCCAAAUAAGUCUUGUCUUGCAUUUUUAACAAAUAAGUGCAGCUUUGUGUUGACUGCUAGAUUGUUAUUGCUUCUGCUACAGUGACUCAACCGGAGCGUGCACCAGUCUUAAUAAAUGGCUGAGAGUGUUUGCCCUGAGCA